AAAACAAUACAUAAUUACAGAGGAGAAUAUUACUGAAAAUGUGCUUCAGGUGUUUGAAUAUGUCAGGAGGCAUUUAACAGUACAGUCCUCAAAGUUGCAGCAUUCUUUCUU
Etheostoma spectabile (orangethroat darter) is the source of this 111-nucleotide long non-coding RNA. RefSeq lists it as uncharacterized. The record is from RefSeq and is a predicted model, not a curated record. The transcript is spliced from 3 exons. NCBI's taxonomy places the organism in Eukaryota, Metazoa, Chordata, Actinopteri, Perciformes, Percidae.